GCCUGGGUGGCUCAGUCGGUUGAGCGUCCGACUUCAGCUCAGGUCAGGAUCUCACAGUUGGUGGGUUCGAGCCCCGCGUCGGGCU
Molecule: non-coding RNA, 85 nt
Organism: Felis catus (domestic cat)
Lineage: Eukaryota; Metazoa; Chordata; Mammalia; Carnivora; Felidae
Source: Rfam